AGCUAAUUGAUAGGCAGUAUGAAAAAGGUUCUCCGAUACAGAGAUUAGCAUAGCCCCUGUGCAAAGAUGACACGCAAAUUCGUGAAGUGUUCCAUGUUUUU
Molecule: small nuclear RNA, 101 nt
Organism: Oryctolagus cuniculus (rabbit)
Lineage: Eukaryota; Metazoa; Chordata; Mammalia; Lagomorpha; Leporidae
Source: Ensembl